Molecule: ribosomal RNA, 403 nt
Filed under: Bacteroidota bacterium
Lineage: Bacteria; Pseudomonadati; Bacteroidota
Also listed under: 2 other names
Description: Bacteroidetes bacterium partial 16S ribosomal RNA
Rfam family: Bacterial small subunit ribosomal RNA
Source: RNAcentral
UGGGGAAUAUUGCACAAUGGGGGGAACCCUGAUGCAGCGACGCCGCGUGAGCGAAGAAGGGAUUCGUUUCGUAAAGCUCUGUCCUAUGGGAAGAUAAUGACGGUACCAUAGAAGAAAGCCCCGGCUAACUACGUGCCAGCAGCCGCGGUAAUACGUAGGGGGCGAGCGUUGUCCGGAAUCACUGGGCGUAAAGGGUUCGCAGGCGGAUAAACAAGUCAAGAGUAAAAGGCAUGGGCUUAACCCAUGUAAGCUAUUGAAACUGUUUAUCUUGAGAUGUGGAGAGGUAAGUGGAAUUACUAGUGUAGCGGUGAAAUGCGUAGAUAUUAGUAGGAAUACCAGUAGCGAAGGCGACUUACUGGACACAAACUGACGCUGAGGAACGAAAGCGUGGGUAGCAAACAGG